GACGAACGCUGGCGGCGUGCUUAACACAUGCAAGUCGAACGGUAAGGCCCUUCGGGGUACACGAGUGGCGAACGGGUGAGUAACACGUGGGUGAUCUGCCCUGCCCUUCGGGAUAAGCCUGGGAAACUGGGUCUAAUACCGGAUAGGACUCCGGACUGCGUGGUCUGGGGUGGAAAGCUCUUGCGGUGUGGGAUGGGCCCGCGGCCUAUCAGCUUGUUGGUGGGGUGAUGGCCUACCAAGGCGACGACGGGUAGCCGGCCUGAGAGGGUGACCGGCCACACUGGGACUGAGAUACGGCCCAGACUCCUACGGGAGGCAGCAGUGGGGAAUAUUGCACAAUGGGCGCAAGCCUGAUGCAGCGACGCCGCGUGAGGGAUGACGGCCUUCGGGUUGUAAACCUCUUUCAGCAUCGACGAAGCGAAAGUGACGGUAGGUGCAGAAGAAGGACCGGCCAACUACGUGCCAGCAGCCGCGGUAA
This 478-nucleotide ribosomal RNA is filed under the name uncultured bacterium. RNAcentral's name for it is "partial 16S ribosomal RNA". It matches the Rfam family "Bacterial small subunit ribosomal RNA", at positions 28 to 523 of the family's 1533-position model. The record is from RNAcentral.